AGCGUACACGGUGGAUGCCCUGGCAGUCAGAGGCGAUGAAGGACGUGCUAAUCUGCGAAAAGCGCCGGUAAGGUGAUAUGAACCGUUAUAACCGGCGAUGUCCGAAUGGGGAAACCCGGUGCACUUCGGUGCAUCAUCGUUAGCUGAAUACAUAGGCUAACGAGGCGAACCGGGGGAACUGAAACAUCUAAGUACCCCGAGGAAAAGAAAUCAACCGAGAUUCCCCCAGUAGCGGCGAGCGAACGGGGAACAGCCCAGAGCCUGAAUCAGCUUGUGUGUCAGUGGAACGGUCUGGAAAGGCCGGCGAUACAGGGUGACAGCCCCGUACACGAAGGCACACAGGCUGUGAGCUCGAUGAGUAGGGCGGGACACGUGAUAUCCUGUCUGAAGAUGGGGGGACCAUCCUCCAAGGCUAAAUACUCCUGACUGACCGAUAGUGAACCAGUACCGUGAGGGAAAGGCGAAAAGAACCCCGGCGAGGGGAGUGAAACAGAACCUGAAACCGUGUACGUACAAGCAGUGGGAGCCUUCGUAAGAGGGUGACUGCGUACCUUUUGUAUAAUGGGUCAGCGACUUAUAUUCUGUAGCAAGGUUAACCGUAUAGGGGAGCCGAAGGGAAACCGAGUCUUAACCGGGCGUUAAGUUGCAGGGUAUAGACCCGAAACCCGGUGAUCUAGCCAUGGGCAGGUUGAAGGUUGGGUAACACUAACUGGAGGACCGAACCGACUAAUGUUGAAAAAUUAGCGGAUGACCUGUGGCUGGGGGUGAAAGGCCAAUCAAACCGGGAGAUAGCUGGUUCUCCCCGAAAGCUAUUUAGGUAGCGCCUCGUGAACUCAUCUCCGGGGGUAGAGCACUGUUUCGGCUAGGGGGCCAUCCCGGCUUACCAACCCGAUGCAAACUGCGAAUACCGGAGAAUGUUAUCACGGGAGACACACGGCGGGUGCUAACGUCCGUCGUGAAGAGGGAAACAACCCAGACCGCCAGCUAAGGUCCCAAAGUCAUGGUUAAGUGGGAAACGAUGUGGGAAGGCCCAGACAGCCAGGAUGUUGGCUUAGAAGCAGCCAUCAUUUAAAGAAAGCGUAAUAGCUCACUGGUCGAGUCGGCCUGCGCGGAAGAUGUAACGGGGCUAAACCAUGCACCGAAGCUGCGGCAGCGACACUAUGUGUUGUUGGGUAGGGGAGCGUUCUGUAAGCCUGUGAAGGUGUGCUGUGAGGCAUGCUGGAGGUAUCAGAAGUGCGAAUGCUGACAUAAGUAACGAUAAAGCGGGUGAAAAGCCCGCUCGCCGGAAGACCAAGGGUUCCUGUCCAACGUUAAUCGGGGCAGGGUGAGUCGACCCCUAAGGCGAGGCCGAAAGGCGUAGUCGAUGGGAAACAGGUUAAUAUUCCUGUACUUGGUGUUACUGCGAAGGGGGGACGGAGAAGGCUAUGUCGGCCGGGCGACGGUUGUCCCGGUUUAAGCGUGUAGGCUGACUUUCCAGGCAAAUCCGGAAGGUUAAGGCUGAGGCGUGAUGACGAGGCACCACGGUGCUGAAGUGACAAAUGCCCUGCUUCCAGGAAAAGCCUCUAAGCAUCAGGUAACAUCAAAUCGUACCCCAAACCGACACAGGUGGUCAGGUAGAGAAUACCAAGGCGCUUGAGAGAACUCGGGUGAAGGAACUAGGCAAAAUGGUGCCGUAACUUCGGGAGAAGGCACGCUGACAUGUAGGUGAAGCCCCUGCGGGUGGAGCUGAAGUCAGUCGAAGAUACCAGCUGGCUGCAACUGUUUAUUAAAAACACAGCACUGUGCAAACACGAAAGUGGACGUAUACGGUGUGACGCCUGCCCGGUGCCGGAAGGUUAAUUGAUGGGGUUAUCGCAAGAGAAGCUCCUGAUCGAAGCCCCGGUAAACGGCGGCCGUAACUAUAACGGUCCUAAGGUAGCGAAAUUCCUUGUCGGGUAAGUUCCGACCUGCACGAAUGGCGUAAUGAUGGCCAGGCUGUCUCCACCCGAGACUCAGUGAAAUUGAACUCGCUGUGAAGAUGCAGUGUACCCGCGGCAAGACGGAAAGACCCCGUGAACCUUUACUACAGCUUGACACUGAACAUUGAGCCUUGAUGUGUAGGAUAGGUGGGAGGCUUUGAAGCGUGGACGCCAGUCUGCGUGGAGCCGACCUUGAAAUACCACCCUUUAAUGUUUGAUGUUCUAACCUGGCGCCAUAAUCUGGCGUGGGGACAGUGUCUGGUGGGUAGUUUGACUGGGGCGGUCUCCUCCCAAAGUGUAACGGAGGAGCACGAAGGUCAGCUAAUCCUGGUCGGACAUCAGGAGGUUAGUGCAAUGGCAUAAGCUGGCUUGACUGCGAGAGUGACGGCUCGAGCAGGUGCGAAAGCAGGUCAUAGUGAUCCGGUGGUUCUGUAUGGAAGGGCCAUCGCUCAACGGAUAAAAGGUACUCCGGGGAUAACAGGCUGAUACCGCCCAAGAGUUCAUAUCGACGGCGGUGUUUGGCACCUCGAUGUCGGCUCAUCACAUCCUGGGGCUGAAGUAGGUCCCAAGGGUAUGGCUGUUCGCCAUUUAAAGUGGUACGCGAGCUGGGUUUAGAACGUCGUGAGACAGUUCGGUCCCUAUCUGCCGUGGGCGCUGGAGAAUUGAGGGGGGCUGCUCCCAGUACGAGAGGACCGGAGUGGACGCAUCACUGGUGUUCGGGUUGUCAUGCCAAUGGCACUGCCCGGUAGCUAAAUGCGGAAGAGAUAAGUGCUGAAAGCAUCUAAGCACGAAACUUGCCCCGAGAUGAGUUCU
RNAcentral lists this ribosomal RNA (2771 nucleotides) under Cronobacter sakazakii. RNAcentral's name for it is "bacterial LSU rRNA". It matches the Rfam family "Bacterial large subunit ribosomal RNA". The record is from RNAcentral. Lineage: Bacteria; Pseudomonadati; Pseudomonadota; Gammaproteobacteria; Enterobacterales; Enterobacteriaceae.